GUUGAAACACUAGUUCCCGUACAAUCACCGAAGUUAAGCAACAUCAAGCCUGGUCAGUAUCUGGAUGGGUGACCGCUUUGGAAUACCAGUUGAUGUAAU
Non-coding RNA from Acanthosepion pharaonis, 99 nucleotides. The record is from the annotation of a GenBank genome assembly. Lineage: Eukaryota; Metazoa; Mollusca; Cephalopoda; Sepiida; Sepiidae.